This 497-nucleotide ribosomal RNA is filed under the name uncultured bacterium. RNAcentral describes it as "partial 16S ribosomal RNA". It matches the Rfam family "Bacterial small subunit ribosomal RNA", at positions 28 to 507 of the family's 1533-position model. The record is from RNAcentral.
GAUGAACGCUGGCGGCGUGCCUAAUACAUGCAAGUCGAGCGAACAGACGAGGAGCUUGCUCCUCUGACGUUAGCGGCGGACGGGUGAGUAACACGUGGAUAACCUACCUAUAAGACUGGGAUAACUUCGGGAAACCGGAGCUAAUACCGGAUAAUAUCUUGAACCGCAUGGUUCAAUAGUGAAAGACGGUUUUGCUGUCACUUAUAGAUGGAUCCGCGCCGCAUUAGCUAGUUGGUAAGGUAACGGCUUACCAAGGCAACGAUGCGUAGCCGAACUGAGAGGGUGAUAGGCCACACUGGAACUGAGACACGGUCCAGACUCCUACGGGAGGCAGCAGUAGGGAAUCGUCCGCAAUGGGCGAAAGCAUGACGGAGCAACGCCGCGUGAGUGAUGAAGGUCUUCGGAGCGUAAAACUCUGUUAUUAGGGAAGAACAAAUGUGUAAGUAACUAUGCACGUCGUGACGGUACCGAAUCAGAAAGCCACGGCUAACUACGUG